ACUGCAUCCCGCCCUGCUUUGGUUUUCCUUCCCUAUUUUCCUUUUCUCGGUCUGCACAAAGCCCUCACAGUGCUGGAGCUGACCGGGGGCCUCCUGCCUCUGGCUUAGGUCAGUUGCCAGUUCCCAGAUGCAGCCCUGGGCUGCCUGUCCUGGAGGACCACGGGAGGCCUUGGGGUCCAGCCUCGAGCUCCUGUUCAGCAGAGAAUGAGGGUGGAAAUAUGUCACCCCUGACUUCGAGUAUCUUCUUUAGCCUCCUGAAGUCUAUCCGCCGUGGCUCUCACCCCUUACCACAGUCAGAAUCACCGGGCUGAAAGAAGAACGGGGAAGAAAAAUGAGGUAUUUGCACUGGAUGAACACCCUACAAUGUGUGCUAUGGUUUGGAUCUGGAAUGUCCCCCAAAGCCUCAUGUAUUGAAGGCUUGAUCCCCAAUGCAGCCAUGUUCAGAGAUGAAGCUUUUGGGAUGGGAUUGGAUCAUGAGGACUCUGACCUCAUCGAUGGAGAAUCUCCACUGAUGGAUUAAUAAUUUGAUGGCGUUAUUGGGAGGUGUUGAAAACUUUGUGAGGUGGGCCUUUGUUCAAAGAAGUAGGCCAUUGGGCACUUAUUCUUGAAAGGUAUGUCAUGUCCCUGAACUUUUCCUCCCUGCCCCCUCCUAACCCUCCCCUUGCUUCUGGGCUGCCAUAAACUGAUCAGCUUUCCUCCCCCAUGCACUUCUGCAAUGAUGUUCUGCCAACCGACCAUAGAUUAAAACCUCUGGAACUGUGAGCCAAAGUAAAUCUUUACUCCUUUAAGUUAUUUUUCUCAGGUGUUUUGUUACAGUGAUAAGAAGCUGACUAACACAAUGUGGGUGGCCCUCAGAAACAGUGCUGAUUGAAGAAAGCAAAGAACAGAAUGCAAUCCAUGGCACAAUACCAUUUAUGUAAACUCAAGUUGCAUGCACACAGAAUAGCAGCGUAUUUUUGACAGGGACACAUACAAAGAUGUGAUGUCAAACAUAUUGAUGCAGUUGCUUAAUUGAGGGAUUGGGGAGACUUAGGGUAGUAAAUGAAAAUUAAAGGAAUAAAUAAAUGAGACAAAAGAGGGUCUUUUCUUAGAACAGUGAUAACACUGUGUCAUUGAGAAUAAUUAAUUGCACUUCUACACCCGAGGACCAAACAAAAAGUCAGAACCAAACUCAGUCUUGGAAAUGACACCACCCUAGUUAGGACAACACUCAUAUCUGUAUGAGUGGGAGGGAGAAGGAACAUGGGGCAGGGAUUUAGCUGUAGCUGUAGUGUUUUAUUUCUUUAAAAGAGAUAAGGUAUCUGAAUCCAAAUGGCAAAAUGUUAAUAUUGGUUAAUGUGUGGAUUUCUGUUAGAUCACUUUGUGCACAUUUUAAAUAUAUCAUAAUUUAAAUAAAUAUUUUUCAAGGCAAGACUGUGGCUUGCCAAGCCAGCUAAUUCUGGCUCUUUCUUAAUUCAUUUCUGAUCCUCGGUUGGCCUCUGAACAAUUUUAUAGAGUUGAAUGACUGCUCUCUACUUUGGUGACAGUUCCAAUAAAGAGAAGAAUAUGAAGACUUCAACUUUUCGUUGAAUGACUGGCAAAUGUCAAUGCUACAUAGAGGGUGAAAUGAGAUGGCUGAACACUCACAGGGAUCUUGCUCCUGAGUGGUUAGAUCAGAUUGACUUGCCAGGACUUAUUGGGUAGGUCAUACACUAUCUAUUGGCCUUCCUGACAAAUCCUAGACAACGAUCUAGAACUUCUGUAGGCAGCUCUUGGAGGGCUUCACAGCUCACAAUAAAGACCUUUUCUCUGGAAGCCACCCUGACACCUUGGUGGGGGUACUAAACAGUGAUUAGAGAAUAGACUCUGUAUUCUAUGACCCGGCGUUGGUCAUAGCUCAUUGGCUAAGAGGGAGCAUUGGAACCAAGCUGGACCAAUCGGAAUCUUCCUCUCAAGAUCUUUGCAUUUUGAACGGAGGCAGAGACUGGGGGCUUUUAGGAUGGGGUUGCUCCAUUGGGAAUGUCCUAGUGGAGAGAUUCAUUGACUCCAGAUGCUUAGGUCCUUUGGAACUGCCAUAGCUCUGGCCUUCCCAGAGGCUCAAUUUCUCACUCUUUUCUUGAAAUUUAAUAAAUUUAUUAUUAUUA
Marmota flaviventris (yellow-bellied marmot) is the source of this 2123-nucleotide long non-coding RNA. RefSeq lists it as uncharacterized. The record is from RefSeq and is a predicted model, not a curated record. Lineage: Eukaryota; Metazoa; Chordata; Mammalia; Rodentia; Sciuridae.